RNAcentral lists this microRNA (23 nucleotides) under Macacine gammaherpesvirus 4 (Rhesus lymphocryptovirus). Its description in RNAcentral is "rlcv-miR-rL1-19-5p". Its record names the gene rlcv-miR-rL1-19-5p. Lineage: Duplodnaviria; Heunggongvirae; Peploviricota; Herviviricetes; Herpesvirales; Orthoherpesviridae. The record is from miRBase by way of RNAcentral.
AUAGAUAGCGUGGGUGUGUGACC